This 553-nucleotide unclassified non-coding RNA is filed under the name plant metagenome. Its description in RNAcentral is "partial contains small subunit ribosomal RNA and internal transcribed spacer 1". The record is from RNAcentral.
AAGUCGUAACAAGGUUUCCAUAGGGACAUACUAAAUGUAGUAUCCUUCAAUGAAGCCUUGUAUCUUAGUCAAUAACAACAAGAACAAUAGAGCAAAGUAGGAAAUGUGUUAGAUUUAAUACUAACUGCCCAACCGCUCUGCUUGUGUUGUUGGAAGUUGGCGACACUGUCCCUGUGCUUGGAGGUUGUUUAGACCAACCAGCAGCUCUGUUAUUCAUUUUUAACAAAGUCCACAGAUCAAACGACGGUGGUCCAGAGCUUUUUCGCGUUCUCGAAUAUUUGAAAGAAUUGGAAGAACCGGGGAAAACUUGGCGGAUUAAAAUAUGACCGGCCUACCCUUGAAAAGGGGGUUAGACCCAUGCGUUCCGUAGGUGAACCUGCGGAAGGAUCAUUACUGAGAACUUGCCCUUUGGGUAGAUCUCCCACCCUAUGUUUACAUACUUUGUUGCUUUGGCAGGCCUGCAUCUGUGCUACUGGCCUUGGGCUAGUUAGUGCCUGCCGGAGAACCAACACUCUGUAUCAUUUAUCGUCUGAGUACUAUUUAAUAGUUAAAA